GAGAAGGUACUUUAGGCAGCAGCUGAUUUCGCUGGUCUCGCGGCGGAACUUGCGCACAGCAGCUGGCAUUACUCCAAUUUCAACAAUAAUAAAUAUGGCCUAAAAGAAACAAAAACCAUCUUUCCACAGAGAUCCCUCCCCCAUCAGUUGGGGAGACUUCUUUUGACCGUCCCGUUUAUACAGGUAAACGCCACCGCCUAUGUGUCAAGUGAAAUUUCAAGAUAGUUGUUGGAAGCUGUUUAAAACAAUAUAAAUGUGAAUUUUCGUCUGUUUAUGAAAAUGAACAAUGAUUUCCGAUCCAAUUGCUAUCGAUAUACGAUAGCUUUAUCACCUACCGUCCAGAAAGUCACUUCUUAGUAACUUCUGAACUAUAGAACAACGAUAGAACACAUUUUGCCCUCGAUAAAUGAAGGUCGCGAACAUUUGCCGUUACUUUAUUUCAAAAAAUUCCUCGGGUCCCCCUUAUGAACCACGCUAUUAUUUUCGCCCGAGCGUCAUUUCGUUUCGCGAUUUGUCUGUGCUCAGUGCGGUUUUGUAUCAAAUUUGUGUGUUUACAAAAUAUGGAAUAUUCAAUACUAUAUUGUAUAACAUAUUAAAAUGUCCAUCUCAACAAAAGGUGCGAAAUUACGAGCUUGGAGCGAAGCUGUACGAUUAUUUUAAGCUAUUUACGGACAAGCUAGCUGUGGACAUUACUUUGCGUGUAACUGCGCAGAAACACAGCAUCCAAAGAUUCUCUACAUAUUUGCUUAUUAAAGGUAAUGCCUUCAAGUUUAUUUUUAUUUUGAGUUAAGGCUAGUACUCACAUCGAUAAAAACCGCGAGCUAACCAUAGGAGUGAGCGAGAGGCAAACACGCAGCUAACACUUUUCGUCGGGACUGUUUUUCAACGCGGUACUCAGAUGAGCUAAGGAAAUACCAGAUAAAAUACCUGAUUUGUUGAGUGAAUUUCGAUGAAUGCAGUUAGCCGCGGCCCAAAGAAUAAGAAAUUUAAUAUUUGGCGGUGUUCGUGUAAAAGCAUUAUGGAAUUAAAAAAUUAAAAAUGGAAGGAAGGCUCCAAAGAAAGCCGCAGACGGUCAGUGCAGAUAAAAAGGACGUUUAAUCAAAUCUGUUGCCCGUUAUUGUGGGACUUCACCGACAGGAUACAUUAUUACAACACGGCAAAUCCGCGGAAUAGUUAAAGUACUGGAGGAGAUCAACCAGAGAAUUUCAGUGUCCGUCCUCGCAAAGAAACAGAACCACCAGAACAAUCUCCGACGAGCUCUCCAUUGGGGAACCACAGAACUCCACAUCCACCUGAUACUUGGCAGAUAAAGCGGAGAUGGAUGACGCUCUGGCCUAUAUAAGGGGGAGGAAAAAAGGCGCCUGCUAAGGAACAGCUGGAGGAGCCAUUACCACCCAUUGCCAGGGUGCUGGGCGACUUCCUGCAGCAUCAGUCGGAACAACCCCGUUCGCAAUCCGGCUCCCAUUUCCUCAAGGUCCAAUAGUCCUUUUGGGAUUCGGAACAAGGCUGCAGAGGGCGCGGGGUAGGUGGAGAGGCAUCCGUGGGACGAGAAGGAAGCCUUAUAGUACUUACUUACAUAAAUAAAAACA
Non-coding RNA from Drosophila suzukii, 1589 nucleotides. NCBI's taxonomy places the organism in Eukaryota, Metazoa, Arthropoda, Insecta, Diptera, Drosophilidae. The record is from RefSeq and is a predicted model, not a curated record.